GCCACGGUGGUCUAGCGGUUAGAACGCUGGCCUUGUAAUCCUGGGGUCCCGGGUUCAAUUCUCGGCGGUGCCC
Molecule: transfer RNA, 73 nt
Filed under: Zootermopsis nevadensis
Lineage: Eukaryota; Metazoa; Arthropoda; Insecta; Blattodea; Termopsidae
Rfam family: tRNA
About the family: Transfer RNA (tRNA) molecules are approximately 80 nucleotides in length. Their secondary structure includes four short double-helical elements and three loops (D, anti-codon, and T loops).
Source: Rfam by way of RNAcentral